GGGCCACAUCACAUUGAAACACCAGCUCUUGUACGAUCACCGAAGUUAAGCAACGUCGAGCUUGGUCAGUACCUAGAUGAGUGGCCGUUUGGAAAUACCACGUGCUAUAA
Molecule: non-coding RNA, 110 nt
Organism: Acanthosepion pharaonis
Lineage: Eukaryota; Metazoa; Mollusca; Cephalopoda; Sepiida; Sepiidae
Source: the annotation of a GenBank genome assembly